Molecule: ribosomal RNA, 364 nt
Filed under: Escherichia coli
Lineage: Bacteria; Pseudomonadati; Pseudomonadota; Gammaproteobacteria; Enterobacterales; Enterobacteriaceae
Description: partial 16S ribosomal RNA
Rfam family: Bacterial small subunit ribosomal RNA
Source: RNAcentral
AAAUUGAAGAGUUUGAUCAUGGCUCAGAUUGAACGCUGGCGGCAGGCCUAACACAUGCAAGUCGAACGGUAACAGGAAACAGCUUGCUGUUUCGCUGACGAGUGGCGGACGGGUGAGUAAUGUCUGGGAAACUGCCUGAUGGAGGGGGAUAACUACUGGAAACGGUAGCUAAUACCGCAUAACGUCGCAAGACCAAAGAGGGGGACCCUCGGGCCUCUUGCCAUCGGAUGUGCCCAGAUGGGAUUAGCUUGUUGGUGGGGUAACGGCUCACCAAGGCGACGAUCCCUAGCUGGUCUGAGAGGAUGACCAGCCACACUGGAACUGAGACACGGUCCAGACUCCUACGGGAGGCAGCAGUGGGGAA